UGGGGAAUAUUGGACAAUGGGCGAAAGCCUGAUCCAGCCAUGCCGCGUGUGUGAAGAAGGUCUUCGGAUUGUAAAGCACUUUAAGUUGGGAGGAAGGGCAGUAAGCGAAUACCUUGCUGUUUUGACGUUACCGACAGAAUAAGCACCGGCUAACUCUGUGCCAGCAGCCGCGGUAAUACAGAGGGUGCAAGCGUUAAUCGGAAUUACUGGGCGUAAAGCGCGCGUAGGUGGUUCGUUAAGUUGAAUGUGAAAGCCCCGGGCUCAACCUGGGAACUGCAUCCAAAACUGGCGAGCGAGAGUAGGGCAGAGGGUGGAAUUUCCUGUGUAGCGGUGAAAUGCGUAGAUAUAGGAAGGAACACCAGUGGCGAAGGCGACCACCUGGGCUCAUACUGACACUGAGGUGCGAAAGCGUGGGGAGCAAACAGG
This 426-nucleotide ribosomal RNA is filed under the name Pseudomonadota bacterium. RNAcentral's name for it is "Proteobacteria bacterium partial 16S ribosomal RNA". It matches the Rfam family "Bacterial small subunit ribosomal RNA", at positions 355 to 776 of the family's 1533-position model. The record is from RNAcentral. Lineage: Bacteria; Pseudomonadati; Pseudomonadota.